AUGCUUCUCCUAAAGACUAAGCCAUGCAUGUCUUCGAAUAAGAGGAAGCAAUUCUCUCUGAAUCUGCGAACGGCUCCGCAAACCAGUUGUAAACCAUAGCAAGCAUGCUCCGGGAAAGCCGCAAGGCCGACCCGGGGCUACAAGGAUAACCCCGGUAAUUCUGAGGCUAAUACAUGAACGUAACCCCCUGGUCGAUGGGCAACCUGAGGCUGGGGACCGUGCGAGACCUCGCAAAAAUAUAUCGGAGUAGUCG
RNAcentral lists this ribosomal RNA (253 nucleotides) under uncultured Physarum sp. RNAcentral describes it as "partial 18S ribosomal RNA". It matches the Rfam family "Eukaryotic small subunit ribosomal RNA", at positions 28 to 235 of the family's 1831-position model. The record is from RNAcentral. Lineage: Eukaryota; Evosea; Eumycetozoa; Physariida; Physaraceae.